AUGGACAAGGAGGAGGAGGGCGCGUUUGAAUUUGAGGAAGAGGGGGUUUCUGUCACCUGGAAGGACAACCCUUUUACUAGUAAAAUGCCAAUGCAAGGGGGGUCUGCGCUCGACGUGGAGGGUAUGGAGAAGAAGGGCCUUCUUCGCAUGCCCCCCAUGGAGCCUUUAGUCGCAGCGCAUCUGCAUCCAAAGUGUAUGGCUGCAAACCCAACAUUGCCAUCAAAAGUGGACCGCUUCCAGUCAAGCAUGACGGAGAGCACUUACAAGGCAGUCAUUCUCUCAGUCCGGGCCAUGAAAGUCAUCUCUUUGCUCACCGCAUACCAGGCGGAGCUACAAGACGAGGUGUCUGUCAUGCCAAGUCAGACACAGUGGGAAGAAAUCUAUGUUGUCACAGAUCUCUCGCUCCAUCUUCAGAGAUGUGACGUUCAGGCUGCGGGCAAGGUCAUGGCCACAGUUGUCAUUGUGGAUGCUGGCUUAAUUUGGCGAAUCUCUCCGACAGAGAAAAGGAAGCCUCUUAGAUGCACCGGUCGUCACAGAAGGCAUUAUCGGUUCAGCGCUGACAUGGAUGCAGAAGAGAUGCAAAGAGAAGAAAAGGGAUGACGAGGCCUUGCAGAUCUGCAUGCCAAGAAAGACGCCGACUGUGCCCCUGCCACCUCCCUGGCAGGCUUUUGCGCAGGCUACAGCUCGCCCACCCCCCAGCUUUCGCAUUCCUAGGCGACAGAGACCACAAGUGAAUGCAACAACAGUUCAGAGCGUCGCACCUGAGCAGAAACCCGCCUGGCCCAGGAAAAAUUUUCCGCCUGCGACAGCUCAGUCGGACCAGCUGGCCCCUCACCCUACCCAGGUGAUGAGGAGGAAGAAGAAGGCCAUUUGAGGGGGUCUUCCUGAGUCGCCCCGUUCGCUAGUCCCCCACCCUCAGUUGUUCAGCGUUCAGCAGAAAACGAGUUCAGAUGUUUACAGAUGUUCUGUGGGGAAACCAGACCCAAGUUGGUCCAGGGGAUGCAGAGCAGUGAAGAGAACGAGAGACGAUGCAGUGGUGUACACCCACCCACUAGUCACAAGAACUUUACAUACUCAAAGUUCAAUAAAGUUUUCAUUGAUUCCCCCACAAAUGUUGCAAAACAUAAUGCCCAAAAAAUGUUGCAAAACACUUUAUCAGAACACAACGUAACACCACCUUGUGGAGUCUUCACUCCGCUGAAGGUGGUGAGCCACGUAAACUCUGUCCAAUCGCUAAGUGUUUGCGCAUGCGCAGUACAGACCACAA
Cyprinus carpio carpio is the source of this 1267-nucleotide long non-coding RNA. The record is from Ensembl. NCBI's taxonomy places the organism in Eukaryota, Metazoa, Chordata, Actinopteri, Cypriniformes, Cyprinidae.